RNAcentral lists this unclassified non-coding RNA (331 nucleotides) under Hevea brasiliensis (rubber tree). Lineage: Eukaryota; Viridiplantae; Streptophyta; Magnoliopsida; Malpighiales; Euphorbiaceae. The record is from RNAcentral.
GCAUUUAACAAAAUCAUUACAGGUGCAUCCUCAAUUUGUUUUAUAAAGUAGUAUUGUUAACAAAUUGGUUUUUGAAAGAAGGUUUAGAGCUAUUGGUUGUUCCCAAUUAUUUCAUGCAAGCUUAUCUAAUUAUACCUGCGUCUAGGUUUAUUAUGUUUAUACCAAUCAAGGCAUCAGGAGCAAACAAGUUAUAUAAUCCACUUUGGAGUCCCACACAAAGUGAUGUAGAACGAGAAGAACAAAGUGGUCAAGAAAAACACAUUCUUAAGACACUAAGGAAGAGAAACUCAUUUUCAAAUCUGUUAUCAAUUCUCAAUAAUAAUUUCAUAAU